GAGUUUGAUCAUGGCUCAGGACGAACGCUGGCGGCGUGCUUAACACAUGCAAGUCGAGCGAAGGAAUACUUAGGAAGCCUUCGGGAAGAAUACGUAUUUCUUAGCGGCAGACGGGUGAGUAACGCGUGAGGAAUCUGCCUCGCACAAGGGGAUAGCCUCGGGAAACCGGGAUUAAUACCCUAUGAUACUUACACUGCGCAUGCAGAGUAAGUUAAAGGAUAUCGGUGUGAGAUGGCCUCGCGUCCCAUUAGCUUGUUGGCAGGGUAAAAGCCUACCAAGGCGACGAUGGGUAGCCGGCCUGAGAGGGUGAACGGCCACAUUGGAACUGAGACACGGUCCAGACUCCUACGGGAGGCAGCAGUGGGGAAUAUUGCACAAUGGAGGGAACUCUGAUGCAGCAACGCCGCGUGAGCGAAGAAGGUUUUAGGAUCGUAAAGCUCUGUCCUAGGGGAAGAUAAUGACGGUACCCGAGGAGGAAGCCCCGGCUAACUACGUGCCAGCAGCCGCGGUAAUAC
This 515-nucleotide ribosomal RNA is filed under the name uncultured bacterium. RNAcentral describes it as "bacterial SSU rRNA". It matches the Rfam family "Bacterial small subunit ribosomal RNA", at positions 9 to 526 of the family's 1533-position model. The record is from RNAcentral.